RNAcentral lists this small RNA (167 nucleotides) under uncultured Lachnoclostridium sp. Its description in RNAcentral is "Clostridiales-1 RNA". It matches the Rfam family "Clostridiales-1 RNA". The record is from RNAcentral. Lineage: Bacteria; Bacillati; Bacillota; Clostridia; Lachnospirales; Lachnospiraceae.
GAUACCAGGGUCAAAAGGCCGGAAAUCCGAUGCAGGCUUGCUUGCAAGAGGAUUUUUGACCUUGGGAUCCGCCAAAAACAUGAAUAAGCAGCCAUUUUUCGCAGAAAAAUGAGCGGAUUAUGAAUGUUUUUAAGGAUUGCGGAAGCACGCAGUGCGAAACAAUCCGG